This 367-nucleotide unclassified non-coding RNA is filed under the name Hevea brasiliensis (rubber tree). Lineage: Eukaryota; Viridiplantae; Streptophyta; Magnoliopsida; Malpighiales; Euphorbiaceae. The record is from RNAcentral.
AUUAAAGAACGUAAGUUUCUUAAACUACUAUUAAUCUCUUAUAAUCCAUUGGAGGGGAUUAUAUACGGACGAUCAUGGGUAGACCAAUGGGGAGAUGAACGAUUCUAUUCAUUGUAUAUACCAAUUAUUAUGUGUACCUUUUAAUGUCAUGUGCGGAUGAGAAUGCUCUGCAAUCUUUUAGUAACUUUUGGAUGAACAUUUACAUCAUGUUGGAGCCAUAAACAACCUGCAAAUGACUUUCCUAAACCAACCAGAGAUAGUAGUAGAGCUACUUUCAAUUCCUUUUGAAAAAUUCAAGAGUUAAAUUGCAAUUGGUUUACAAAUGUCAAUCUGCCAUAUUUCAUUUCUUUUUUUACUUAAAAAAAAA